GACGAACGCUGGCGGCGUGCUUAACACAUGCAAGUCGAACGGAAAGGCCCUGCUUUUGUGGGGUGCUCGAGUGGCGAACGGGUGAGUAACACGUGAGUAACCUGCCCUUGACUUUGGGAUAACUUCAGGAAACUGGGGCUAAUACCGGAUAGGAGCUCCUGCUGCCUGGUGGGGGUUGGAAAGGUUCGGCGGUUGGGGAUGGACUCGCGGCUUAUCAGCUUGUUGGUGGGGUAGUGGCUUACCAAGGCUUGGACGGGUAGCCGGCCUGAGAGGGUGACCGGCCAGAUUGGGACUGAGAUACGGCCCAGAGUCGUACGGGAGGCAGCAGUGGGGAAUAUUGCACAAUGGGCGGAAGCCUGAUGCAGCAACGCCGCGUGCGGGAUGACGGCCUUCGGGUUGUAAACCGCUUUCGCCUGUGACGAAGCGUGAGUGACGGUAAUGGGUAAAGAAGCACCGGCUAACUACGUG
This 468-nucleotide ribosomal RNA is filed under the name uncultured bacterium. RNAcentral's name for it is "partial 16S ribosomal RNA". It matches the Rfam family "Bacterial small subunit ribosomal RNA", at positions 28 to 507 of the family's 1533-position model. The record is from RNAcentral.